Ailuropoda melanoleuca (giant panda) is the source of this 494-nucleotide long non-coding RNA. RefSeq lists it as uncharacterized. The transcript has 3 exons. Lineage: Eukaryota; Metazoa; Chordata; Mammalia; Carnivora; Ursidae. The record is from RefSeq and is a predicted model, not a curated record.
CUGGAAGGAGCUGGGGAAGAAGAUGGGUGCCGGGUGAAGAAACUGAGAUCACAUUGAGAAGGAUUCCUAAUGCGUGGAACUCAGGAGUGGUGAAGUCAGGUGCUGCCUCUGGAGAUAAAACUAGCCAUGAAGGUCAUAGGAUCAGCAUAAAGCUGAGCAGGCAAAUUCUCGUGAAGACCCCUCAAGGAUGCACCGUACCUCCCAUGUCGCCUCUACAGCGUGGACAAUGUGGGCUACUCGCUGGACCAGAGCAACCUCUUUCCAGGAGCUCAGUGGCAGAACCAAGCUCAAGGGCUGCCCACAUUCUAACCCCCUUGCUACCCAACAGCAGAUGGGGACGCAAGAGGUCCAGACCGUGAAGACGUUAGUAUCCAGAGACGGAGUGUAUGAAGUUUUCCAGGGGCUCUGUGAUUUGUGGUAUCGUGACAGAUCAAGGCAUAAGCAGAUAUGAGAAUGCAGUUAUCUUCAGCGAAGGCAGGUAAUAAAGAGUUAUA